RNAcentral lists this ribosomal RNA (497 nucleotides) under uncultured bacterium. RNAcentral's name for it is "partial 16S ribosomal RNA". It matches the Rfam family "Bacterial small subunit ribosomal RNA", at positions 28 to 507 of the family's 1533-position model. The record is from RNAcentral.
GAUGAACGCUGGCGGCGUGCCUAAUACAUGCAAGUCGAGCGAACAGACGAGGAGCUUGCUCCUCUGACGUUAGCGGCGGACGGGUGAGUAACACGUGGAUAACCUACCUAUAAGACUGGGAUAACUUCGGGAAACCGGAGCUACUACCGGAUAAUAUAUUGAACCGCAUGGUUCAAUAGUGAAAGACGGCUUUGCUGUCACUUAUAGAUGGAUCCGCGCCGCAUUAGCUAGUUGGUAAGGUAACGGCUUACCAAGGCAACGAUGCGUAGCCGACCUGAGAGGGUGAUCGGCCACACUGGAACUGAGACACGGUCCAGACUCCUACGGGAGGCAGCAGUAGGGAAUCUUCCGCAAUGGGCGAAAGCUUGACGGAGCAACGCCGCGUGAGUGAUGAAGGUCUUCGGAUCGUAAAACUCUGUUAUUAGGGAAGAACAAAUGUGUAAGUAACUAUGCACGUCUUGACGGUACCUAAUCAGAAAGCCACGGCUAACUACGUG